UAGAGUUUGAUCAUGGCUCAGGAUGAACGCUAGCGACAGGCUUAACACAUGCAAGUCGAGGGGCAGCGGGGAGGUAGCAAUACUUCCGCCGGCGACCGGCGCACGGGUGAGUAACACGUAUGGAACCUGCCCGUAGCAGGGGGAUAAGCGGAAGAAAUUCCGUCUAAUACCGCGUAAUAACUCCGAGAGGCAUCUCCUGGGGUUUAAAGGGUAACACCGGCUACGGAUGGCCAUGCGGCGCAUUAGCUAGUUGGCGGGGUAACGGCCCACCAAGGCGACGAUGCGUAGGGGUUCUGAGAGGAAGGUCCCCCACACUGGUACUGAGACACGGACCAGACUCCUACGGGAGGCAGCAGUGAGGAAUAUUGGUCAAUGGGCGCGAGCCUGAACCAGCCAAGUCGCGUGAGGGAAGACGGUCCUAUGGAUUGUAAACCUCUUUUGUCGGGGAGCAAAAGACGCCACGCGUGACGUUCCGAGAGUACCCGAAGAAAAAGCAUCGGCUAACUCCGUGCCAGCAGCCGCGGUAAUACGGAGGAUGCGAGCGUUAUCCGGAUUUAUUGGGUUUAAAGGGUGCGCAGGCGGAAGAUCAAGUCAGCGGUAAAAUUGAGAGGCUCAACCUCUUCGAGCCGUUGAAACUGGUUUUCUUGAGUGAGCGAGAAGUAUGCGGAAUGCGUGGUGUAGCGGUGAAAUGCAUAGAUAUCACGCAGAACUCCGAUUGCGAAGGCAGCAUACCGGCGCUCAACUGACGCUCAUGCACGAAAGUGUGGGUAUCGAACAGGAUUAGAUACCCUGGUAGUCCACACAGUAAACGAUGAAUACUAAUUGUUCGGGGAGAAUGAUCCC
RNAcentral lists this ribosomal RNA (843 nucleotides) under uncultured bacterium. RNAcentral's name for it is "bacterial SSU rRNA". It matches the Rfam family "Bacterial small subunit ribosomal RNA", at positions 1 to 839 of the family's 1533-position model. The record is from RNAcentral.